RNAcentral lists this ribosomal RNA (482 nucleotides) under uncultured bacterium. RNAcentral describes it as "partial 16S ribosomal RNA". It matches the Rfam family "Bacterial small subunit ribosomal RNA", at positions 30 to 507 of the family's 1533-position model. The record is from RNAcentral.
AUUGAACGCUGGCGGCAUGCCUUACACAUGCAAGUCGAACGGUAACGGGCCUUCGGGUGCCGACGAGUGGCGAACGGGUGAGUAAUACAUCGGAACGUGCCCGAUCGUGGGGGAUAACGAGGCGAAAGCUUUGCUAAUACCGCAUACGAUCUACGGAUGAAAGCAGGGGACCGCAAGGCCUUGCGCGGACGGAGCGGCCGAUGGCAGAUUAGGUAGUUGGUGGGAUAAAAGCUUACCAAGCCGACGAUCUGUAGCUGGUCUGAGAGGUUGAUCAGCCACACUGGGACUGAGACACGGCCCAGACUCCUACGGGAGGCAGCAGUGGGGAAUUUUGGACAAUGGGCGCAAGCCUGAUCCAGCCAUGCCGCGUGCAGGAUGAAGGCCUUCGGGUUGUAAACUGCUUUUGUACGGAACGAAAAGCCUACUUUUAAUACAGGAGGGUCAUGACGGUACCGUAAGAAUAAGCACCGGCUAACUACGUG